Molecule: ribosomal RNA, 253 nt
Filed under: uncultured bacterium
Lineage: Bacteria
Description: partial 16S ribosomal RNA
Rfam family: Bacterial small subunit ribosomal RNA
Source: RNAcentral
UACGAAGGGGGCUAGCGUUGCUCGGAAUCACUGGGCGUAAGGCGCACGUAGGCGGAUUGCUAAGUCAGGGGUGAAAUCCUGGAGCUCAACUCCAGAACUGCCCUUGAUACUGGCGGUCUCGAGUCCGGGAGAGGUGAGUGGAACUGCGAGUGUAGAGGUGAAAUUCGUAGAUAUUCGCAAGAACACCAGUGGCGAAGGCGGCUCACUGGCCCGGUACUGACGCUGAGGUGCGAAAGCGUGGGGAGCAAACAGG